This 389-nucleotide ribosomal RNA is filed under the name uncultured bacterium. RNAcentral describes it as "bacterial SSU rRNA". It matches the Rfam family "Bacterial small subunit ribosomal RNA", at positions 28 to 417 of the family's 1533-position model. The record is from RNAcentral.
GACGAACGCUGGCGGCGUGCUUAACACAUGCAAGUCGAGCGGUAAGGCCCUUUCGGGGGUACACGAGCGGCGAACGGGUGAGUAACACGUGGGUGACCUGCCCUCAGCUCUGGGAUAAGCCCGGGAAACUGGGUCUAAUACUGGAUAUGACUCCAUGACGCAUGUUGUGGGGUGGAAAGCCUUGUGCGGCUGGGGAUGGGCCCGCGGCCUAUCAGCUUGUUGGUGGGGUGAUGGCCUACCAAGGCGACGACGGGUAGCCGGCCUGAGAGGGCGACCGGCCACACUGGGACUGAGACACGGCCCAGACUCCUACGGGAGGCAGCCAGUGGGGAAUCUUGCGCAAUGGGCGAAAGCCUGACGCAGCGACGCCGCGUGAGGGAUGACGGCCU